This 460-nucleotide ribosomal RNA is filed under the name uncultured bacterium. RNAcentral describes it as "partial 16S ribosomal RNA". It matches the Rfam family "Bacterial small subunit ribosomal RNA", at positions 338 to 795 of the family's 1533-position model. The record is from RNAcentral.
CCUACGGGAGGCAGCAGUGAGGAAUAUUGCACAAUGGACGAAAGUCUGAAGCAGCCAAGCAGCGUGAAGGAUGACGGCCCUCUGGGUUGUAAGCUUCUUUUAUAUGGGAAUAAAAUGUUCCACGUGUGGGAUUUUGUAUGUACCAUAUGAAUACGGAACGGCUAACUCCGUGCCAGCAGCCGCGGUAAUACGGAGGAUCCGAGCGUUAUCCGGAUUUAUUGGGUUUAAAGGGAGCGUAGGUGGAGUGUUAAGUCAGUUGUGAAAGUUUGCGGCUCAACCGUAAAAUUGCAGUGGAAACUGGCAGUCUUGAGUACAGUAGAGGUAGGCGGAAUUCGUGGUGUAGCGGUGAAAUGCGUAGAUAUCACGAAGAACACCGAUGGCGAAGGCAGCUCACUGGACUGAAACUGACACUGAGGCUCGAAAGUGUGGGUAUCAAACAGGAUUAGAUACCCGUGUAGUC